UUCUUGCGGCCGCAGAGGGAGCUCUUUAGGCGGCCGCAGGGGAAGCUGGCUGUUCUUGCGGCCGCAGGGGGAGCUGGCUCUUCUGUCUCUGCUCCCCCUCCCCAGUGCACUACAAUGAGACCGGGGCUGGAAUAUGACGCCAGCUCCCCUGCGGCCGCAAGAACAGCCAGCUUCCCCUGCGGCCGCCUAAAGAGCUCCCUCUGCGGCCACAGGUGAGC
Molecule: non-coding RNA, 218 nt
Organism: Pelobates cultripes (western spadefoot toad)
Lineage: Eukaryota; Metazoa; Chordata; Amphibia; Anura; Pelobatidae
Source: the annotation of a GenBank genome assembly